UCGUCCUCUCUCACUCUCUCAAAAACGGGCAAAGAGCUCUGAAGAAAACCUCUCCCGCCGUUGAAGCAAGUUAGUGAUUUGUGGUUUUAGCUUCGAAGAUCGAUUAGUGUUAUGGGGAUUUCUUUUUCAAGUUAUCGAAAUUAAAACCCCUAAAAUACCACAAGCAGAAGACGUAAUAAUCUAGUACUUGGAUUUGGAUUUGGUUUUAGACGGACUAUUACUACUACUAACUCUAUGCUGCCUCGGUAUUUACAAUUUCAUAAAGCUACCACAAACAAGAAGAAGAUUUCCGGACCUAAUUUACAGUUUUAAUUUUGAUUUUAUUUUUUUAUUUGAUUCAAAUUGAAUUAUUAGCAAAUUAUGAUUGUUGCGGCUGUUUAGUUGAUGAUGGUGGUGUUGUUUGUUUGUGUAGGUUGUACGUAUGGAAUAUCCGAGACCUGAACUCGAUAACACAGUUAAUUACUUAGAAGCUUCUUACUUUUCAUCCUCCUUCAUUGUUUACACAAGACCUAAUAAAUCUUUGAUUGUUGUCAUUUCUGGUGCAGAUCAACAUGUUUAUACUACCUGCAUUAAGGUGAAACAUAAGAGAGUGGUCGUGGAUGUUGAGAGUUCAGUGGAUGUUGUUUACAAGCUGAAGGAAUCACAUUUGAGUCGAAGCCAGGUAGCGUACAAAAGGAAGCAUUUGGUUCACUUAAACCGGUUGAUGGAGAACAUGUUGUGGACAUUUACACUGGUUACCAUUAAAUUUGGGGUAUACGCUUAACUUGUGAUUUCUGAAAGCAUCAUUUGUAAAGCAGACAUUGGGAUUGCUGCAUCCAGGAACGCAAAUAUGGUAUGACGAGAUUCGUUUCAUGCCCCUAAAGUUCCAAUCUUGUAUGCCACUGAAAUAUUUACAUCCACAACUACUGGUCUGUAGUCUGUAAAUUACAUCAACUAAGCCUAAACAUCCUUGUUAGAUUGAAAGUUCAAGCCUAUUGCCGUGGCACCCCUUAGAAGCAAGGAGUGAAGGAGGUUGUUACUACUGUACCAUGAGGGUAGUUGUUACUGUUAUUUCGCAAAAAGGAAGAGUCGGGUAAAUGUGUACUGCAUACUUGCAGUGGAUCCGUUACGUUCCAUGUUGUUAAUAUAAGAACAAACAUCGAAAUUAUGUUUUUCGUUGGAGGCUUCGAGACACCUUGCAUUUUAAAAAGGUCAAGCCUAUGAAAUUCGCUAAUCCAAAUUCUCUUUUGUAUGGUCAUCUCUCUGGCAUUGAUUCGUCCGGGACAUCGGUAAAAUUUAGUAUAUCUCCUACAGCUUGUAUCGCUGCUAAUUAGAUGUUUUUUUUUUCUUUUUAUUAACAUAAAUUCGUGCCGUGCAGAUGAAAUUGACAUGGGUAAGUGGUGAUAAAGAACCUCAACAGGCUUAAUAUGGGGAUGGAAAUUCACAUGCAUCAGAUGCUAAUACGUUUACUCAAAAGCAAAUGCGUAGCAAGUCUCUUAAUAUUUGUUUAACAGUAACUUACCGGAAUCUAGUGAAAUGAAUAAAAUGCUUCAAAUCUUUUGUAUAAUGCUUCUAUAAUGUCUAUCUAUACAGAUUCACCAAUAAAAAGAACAACUAUUGAUUUUGGAUGGCAUGACCCUGGUUACGUUCAUUCAGCUGUGAUGACUGACCUUCAACCAUCAACCACCUACUCCUACAGAUAUAGCAGUAGCCUGGAUAUCUUUCUGUGACGGAAGCCAUGCGGAAAGAAGUAGAAUCAGUCGAAGUGGACUCAGUCUUUCAUAUCGGAAACAUAAGCUAUGCCACUGGUUUCCUGGGACUAUUUCCUUAGCCUGAUCCAGCCAGUUACUUCUCAUUUCACCUACAUGACAACAAUUGGCAACCAUGGGAGAGACUACAUAAACUCCGGAUCGGUUUAUAUAACCCCAGAUUCUGGUGGAGAAUGUGGAGUUGCUUAUGAGGCCUAUUUUCGGAUGCCCACAUCUGCGAAAGACAAACCCUGGUAUUCAAUCAACCAAGCCGACAUUCACUUCACUGUAAUCUCAACAGAACAUCCUUGGACUGAGAACUCUGAACAGGUAUUUAGCUGUGGGACUGAUGCAUAUCCCUUGCUAAGGGAUCUUUGUACUAAUACUAUAGGUAUUGAUAUGUUGUCAAAUGGCAGCUGAUUAUCACUCGGAAACACCUCAUUUAACAAGUAUCCAGAUUUGGAAUUGGAGGAGUGCAAGAGAUUUACUCGUGCAUGUUUGGGUUCUUCAGGUAAUUAAACCUGCUGCUCGGGAACUUGAAUUGAAUUAAGAGUGUAAUGCUACCCGCUGGUCUCCCGAGGAAUUUGAACGUAAGUUAUAGUACAGAUAUGGAGCACACUGCACAAAAUAGAUUUCUACCCAAGUGUAGUGUUCUACCGAAGUAUACUGUUCUAUAUUGAUGUCUUUGUAUGUACAUGUACUGCCAGUAACCACCUUUCGGCUUUUCACUGGUUGUCUCAUAACGCAGAGGAGUUGAACUCACCAUGCAUUGAGAUCAGAUAUUCUUUAGAGAUUCCCAGUUAUCAAUAAUCAGUAAUUCUCUGAAGUAGAUGCAAUUGGUGUUCAUUCUGCUUUUUUAAUGUUGCUUCGGGUUGUUGAACUGCCCUUGCUUCAUCCAUUUCUUGUAGAUGGCCUCUUCAAAGAAGGCUUGCAUUGUGUCUUUCGAUGAAGUAGAUGCAAUUGGUGUAAUUCCGUUUUCCUGUGUAAUGCAGCAAACCGCCGUGAGAAAGAAGCUUAAUUGAAGAAGCAAAUCAAGAAGCAACAGGAGGAAGCUGAAAAAGAACAAAGAAGUGAGAUAAGGAAACAGCUGAUUCACAAGUACGAGUUUCCUAUAUUCUUUGUAUAUGUGUCUUCUCUUCUGAAACUAAACUAAGAGUGUUGAUUUAAAUCUUGAAGAAAUGUAGUCACAAAUAAUAAACAUAGUUGUUUCCUUCCCUUUCUUUUGUUAAAUAUUUUUGAUGUUUAAAUAUGUAUCGUUGAGCA
This is a long non-coding RNA of Papaver somniferum (opium poppy), 2990 nucleotides long. RefSeq lists it as uncharacterized. The transcript has 12 exons. The record is from RefSeq and is a predicted model, not a curated record. NCBI's taxonomy places the organism in Eukaryota, Viridiplantae, Streptophyta, Magnoliopsida, Ranunculales, Papaveraceae.